UCUAUAAUAGCUUAAUGGUAAAGCUUUUGGUUGUUAACCAAAUUAUAUCAGUUCAAUUCUGAUUUGUGGAG
This 71-nucleotide transfer RNA is filed under the name Polymastia littoralis. RNAcentral describes it as "tRNA-Asn". It matches the Rfam family "tRNA". From Rfam's summary of the family: Transfer RNA (tRNA) molecules are approximately 80 nucleotides in length. Lineage: Eukaryota; Metazoa; Porifera; Demospongiae; Polymastiida; Polymastiidae. RNAcentral also lists the same sequence under 1 other name. The record is from RNAcentral.